Molecule: long non-coding RNA, 759 nt
Filed under: Cavia porcellus (domestic guinea pig)
Lineage: Eukaryota; Metazoa; Chordata; Mammalia; Rodentia; Caviidae
Description: lncRNA (ENSCPOG00000031893.1)
Source: RNAcentral
UGUUCUGUUAUAUUGUUUUAAGUUUAUUUAUCUAGAGUUGGCUUUAUUUUAGCCUCAGUCUUGGAGCAAAAACCAGGGACAUUGCCAGAGCAAACAAGAACAGAAGUACAAAUGGAGGACUGGUCAAAAGGUAUAACCCAUGUUAAUACUGAACGGGACUCUACGGGAAUAAAUAAAAGUACACAGCUAGAUGAACAACUAGCCAUGAAUUCUGAGGGAAGCUUGAUUCAGAAAUCCAGUGACUUAGUUAAUGAAGUCACAAAUGAGGACACUGAGCUACUGGGGCAGAGACCACGGAGUUUUCAGGUCGUUGGUUAUAAUCCAGAAGAUGAGACACUUGAAAAGUGCAACAUUAUGGAGCAUAGAAGUAAUGAUCUACAUUAUGAAUGUAUGAUUCCUUAUCAAGUUACUUCAGAUGUAAAUAAAGAGACAGUAGCAUUUCUUCUAAAAGAAUUGGAUAUGCUCAGAACAAGCAAUAAAAAGCUUCAAGAAAAACUGACUAAAGAAAAUAAAGAACAGAAAAAAUUAACGCUUAAGCUGGAACUCCAAGAAAAAACAAUGGAAGCUAAAAUUGCUGAAAAGACUUCAGCUCUAGUUGAAGAAGUGUAUUUUGCACAGAGGGAACGUGAUGAAGCUGUUAUGUCUAGACUGCAGUUAGCCAUCAAGGAGAGAGAUGAAGCAAUUGCACGAGCCAAGCAUAUGGAAAUGUCUCUAAAAUGUAUGUACGCAAUUAAUGUAAAAUGUGAUAUAGGAGCAUUU